GAUGAACGCUGGCGGCGUGCCUAAUACAUGCAAGUCGAGCGAACAGAUGAGGAGCUUGCUCCUCUGACGUUAGCGGCGGACGGGUGAGUAACACGUGGAUAACCUACCUAUAAGACUGGGAUAACUUCGGGAAACCGGAGCUAAUACCGGAUAAUAUAUUGAACCGCAUGGUUCAAUAGUGAAAGACGGUUUUGCUGUCACUUAUAGAUGGAUCCGCGCCGCAUUAGCUAGUUGGUAAGGUAACGGCUUACCAAGGCAACGAUGCGUAGCCGACCUGAGAGGGGGAUCGGCCGCACGGGAACGGAGACACGGUCCAGACGCCUAAGGGAGGCAGCAGUAGGGAAUCUUCCGCAAUGGGCGAAAGCCUGACGGAGCAACGCCGCGUGAGUGAUGAAGGUCUUCGGAUCGUAAAACUCUGUUAUUAGGGAAGAACAAAUGUGUAAGUAACUAUGCACGUCUUGACGGUACCUAAUCAGAAAGCCGCGGCUAACUACGUG
This 497-nucleotide ribosomal RNA is filed under the name uncultured bacterium. RNAcentral's name for it is "partial 16S ribosomal RNA". It matches the Rfam family "Bacterial small subunit ribosomal RNA", at positions 28 to 507 of the family's 1533-position model. The record is from RNAcentral.